UACGUAGGGCGCAAGCGUUGUCCGGAAUUAUUGGGCGUAAAGAGCUCGUAGGUGGCUGGUCGCGUCUGCCGUGAAAGCCCGUGGCUUAACUACGGGUCUGCGGUGGAUACGGGCCGGCUUGAGGUAGGUAGGGGCAAGCGGAAUUCCUGGUGUAGCGGUGAAAUGCGCAGAUAUCAGGAGGAACACCGGUGGCGAAGGCGGCUUGCUGGGCCUUACCUGACGCUGAGGAGCGAAAGCGUGGGGAGCGAACAGG
This 253-nucleotide ribosomal RNA is filed under the name uncultured bacterium. RNAcentral's name for it is "partial 16S ribosomal RNA". It matches the Rfam family "Bacterial small subunit ribosomal RNA", at positions 524 to 776 of the family's 1533-position model. The record is from RNAcentral.